Molecule: long non-coding RNA, 301 nt
Organism: Populus euphratica (Euphrates poplar)
Lineage: Eukaryota; Viridiplantae; Streptophyta; Magnoliopsida; Malpighiales; Salicaceae
Exons: 2
Source: RefSeq, a predicted model, not a curated record
CGAACUUCAAAUUACAGUGCAUGCAGAAAUUUGCAUUACUAAAGUGAACAUUUGAAGAAUGGGAUGAAAACGAGCUGCUUGAACGAAUAGAUAACAGAGACUCUGAUACCUUCACCGAAGAGUGCAGCAAGUCUAGAAGAUGGUAACUCUAUGUUAGUGUCGCUUAACAUGGUGUUGAUAGUGUCUGUUUUGCAUAAUAUUCUAUCAGCUUGUACAGUAAGAUGUAUAUAAUCAAUUUGAUACUCUAGUUACCUUACUAAGGAGCUUGAGGAUAACAAAUUCACUAAUCACCUUUUGGUUU